UACGUAGGGUGCAAGCAUUAAUCGGAAUUAUUGGGCGUAAAGGGCGCGUAGGCGGAUUGAUAAGUCAGAUGUGAAAUACCAAGGCUCAACCUUGGUGCUGCAUUUGAAACUAUUUUUCUAGAGGAUUGACGGAGAAAGGGGAAUUCCACGAGUAGCGGUGAAAUGCGUAGAUACGUGGAGGAACACCGGUGGCGAAAGCGCCUUUCUAGUUUUUACCUGACGCUGAGGCGCGAGAGCAAGGGGAGCAAAC
RNAcentral lists this ribosomal RNA (250 nucleotides) under uncultured bacterium. RNAcentral describes it as "partial 16S ribosomal RNA". It matches the Rfam family "Bacterial small subunit ribosomal RNA", at positions 524 to 773 of the family's 1533-position model. The record is from RNAcentral.